RNAcentral lists this ribosomal RNA (301 nucleotides) under uncultured bacterium. Its description in RNAcentral is "partial 16S ribosomal RNA". It matches the Rfam family "Bacterial small subunit ribosomal RNA", at positions 509 to 809 of the family's 1533-position model. The record is from RNAcentral.
CAGUCGCCGCGGUAAUACGUAGGUGGCAAGCGUUGUCCGGAAUUAUUGGGCGUAAAGGGCUCGCAGGCGGUUUCUUAAGUCUGAUGUGAAAGCCCCCGGCUCAACCGGGGAGGGUCAUUGGAAACUGGGAAACUUGAGUGCAGAAGAGGAGAGUGGAAUUCCACGUGUAGCGGUGAAAUGCGUAGAGAUGUGGAGGAACACCAGUGGCGAAGGCGACUCUCCGGUCUGCAACUGACGCUGAGGAGCGAAAGCGUGGGGAGCGAACAGGAUUAGAGACCCCUGUAGUCCCUGUCUCUUAUAA